This 83-nucleotide transfer RNA is filed under the name Syntrophomonadaceae bacterium. Its description in RNAcentral is "tRNA-Leu". It matches the Rfam family "tRNA". From Rfam's summary of the family: Transfer RNA (tRNA) molecules are approximately 80 nucleotides in length. Their secondary structure includes four short double-helical elements and three loops (D, anti-codon, and T loops). Lineage: Bacteria; Bacillati; Bacillota; Clostridia; Eubacteriales; Syntrophomonadaceae. The record is from RNAcentral.
GCGGCGGUGGUGGAACAGGCAGACACGUACGUUUGAGGGGCGUAUCCGCGAGGGUGAGGGUUCAAGUCCCUCUCGCCGCACCA